GAUGAAGAACGCAGCGAAAUGCGAUAAGUAAUGUGAAUUGCAGAAUUCAGUGAAUCAUCGAAUCUUUGAACGCACCUUGCGCCCUUUGGCUAUUCCGAAGGGCAUGCCUGUUUGAGUAUCAUGAACACCUCAACUCUCAUGGUUUGCCAUGAUGAGCUUGGACUUUGGGGGUCUUGCCGGCCUAUGGGUCGGCUCCUCUCAAAUUAAUCAGCUUGCCAGUGUUUGGUGGCAUCACAGGUGUGAUAACUAUCUACGCUUGUGGUUUUCCAUCAGGUAACCUUCAGUGAUGGAGGUUCGCUGGGGCUCAUAAAUGUCUCGCCUCAGUGAGGACAGCUUUUUUGAACGUUUGAUCUCAAAUCAGGUAGGACUACCCGCUGAACUUAAGCAUAUCAAUAAGCGGAGGA
Molecule: unclassified non-coding RNA, 404 nt
Filed under: soil metagenome
Description: partial contains 5.8S ribosomal RNA, internal transcribed spacer 2, and large subunit ribosomal RNA
Rfam family: 5.8S ribosomal RNA (bases 1-121)
Source: RNAcentral